CCUACGGGAGGCAGCAGUAGGGGAUAUUGCUCAAUGGGGGGAACCCUGAAGCAGCAACGCCGCGUGGAGGAUGAAGGUUUUAGGAUUGUAAACUCCUUUUGUUAGGGAAGAUUAUGACGGUAUCUAGCGAAUAAGCCCCGGCUAACUCCGUGCCAGCAGCCGCGGUAAUACGGAGGGUGCAAGCGUUACUCGGAAUCACUGGGCGUAAAGAGUGCGUAGGCGGGGUAAUAAGUCAGGUGUGAAAUCCUGUGGCUUAACCACAGGACUGCAUUUGAAACUGUUACUCUGGAGUGUGGGAGGGGUAGGUGGAAUUCUUGGUGUAGGGGUAAAAUCCGUAGAGAUCAAGAGGAAUACGCAUGGCGAAGGCGACCUGCUGGAACAUUACUGACGCUGAUGCACGAAAGCGUGGGGAGCAAACAGGAUUAGAUACCCGAGUAGUC
Molecule: ribosomal RNA, 440 nt
Filed under: uncultured bacterium
Lineage: Bacteria
Description: partial 16S ribosomal RNA
Rfam family: Bacterial small subunit ribosomal RNA
Source: RNAcentral